This 399-nucleotide ribosomal RNA is filed under the name Tropidolaemus wagleri (Wagler's pit viper). RNAcentral's name for it is "partial 12S ribosomal RNA". Lineage: Eukaryota; Metazoa; Chordata; Lepidosauria; Squamata; Viperidae. The record is from RNAcentral.
UAAUACACAAUCAAACUACGAAUUGUUCGCCAACAACUACGAGUAAUAACUUAAAACUUAAAAGACUUGACGGUACUUCACCCCGACCUAGAGGGGCCUGUCUAAUAACCGACAACCCACGAUUAACCCAGCCCUUUCUCGCCCAACAGUCUAUAUACCGCCGUCGCCAGCUUACCUUGUAAGAGAAAUAAAGUGAGCUAAACAGCACCCACUAACACGACAGGUCGAGGUGUAACCAAUGAAAGGGCCUAAGAUGGGCUACAUUCUCCACCCGAGAACACGAACAACACCAUGAAACAGGUGUUUGAAGGCGGAUUUAGCAGUAAGACAGGAAUAAAAUACCCAACUGAACAUAACGCAAUGAAGUGCGUACACACCGCCCGUCAUCCCUGCCACACG